CCUACGGGAGGCAGCAGUAGGGAAUAUUGCUCAAUGGGGGAAACCCUGACGCAGCAACGCCGCGUGGAGGAUGAAGGUUUUCGGAUUGUAAACUUCUUUUGUCAGGGAAGAUAGUGACGGUAUCUAACGAAUAAGCAACGGCUAACUCCGUGCCAGCAGCCGCGGUAAUACGGAGGGUGCAAGCGUUACGCGGAAUCACUGGGCCUAAAGGGCGCGGAGGGGGGAUAGCAAGUCAGAUGUGAAAUCCUAUGGCUUAACCAUAGAACUGCAUUGGAAACUGUUAUUCUAGAGUAUGGGAGAGGUAGGUGGAAUUCUUGGUGUAGGGGUAAAAUCCGUAGAGAUCAAGAGGAAUACUCAUUGCGAAGGCGACCUGCUAGAACAUAACUGACGCUGAUGCGCGAAAGCGUGGGGAGCAAACAGGAUUAGAUACCCCUGUAGUC
This 440-nucleotide ribosomal RNA is filed under the name uncultured bacterium. Its description in RNAcentral is "partial 16S ribosomal RNA". It matches the Rfam family "Bacterial small subunit ribosomal RNA", at positions 338 to 795 of the family's 1533-position model. The record is from RNAcentral.